This 381-nucleotide ribosomal RNA is filed under the name uncultured bacterium. RNAcentral describes it as "bacterial SSU rRNA". It matches the Rfam family "Bacterial small subunit ribosomal RNA", at positions 29 to 414 of the family's 1533-position model. The record is from RNAcentral.
AUUGAACGCUGGCGGAAUGCUUUACACAUGCAAGUCGAACGGCAGCACGGGGCAACCUGGUGGCGAGUGGCGAACGGGUGAGUAAUACAUCGGAACGUGCCCAAUCGUGGGGGAUAACGUAGCGAAAGUUACGCUAAUACCGCAUACGAUCUACGGAUGAAAGCGGGGGAUCGCAAGACCUCGCGCGAAUGGAGCGGCCGAUGUCAGAUUAGGUAGUUGGUGGGGUAAAGGCUCACCAAGCCGACGAUCUGUAGCUGGUCUGAGAGGACGACCAGCCACACUGGGACUGAGACACGGCCCAGACUCCUACGGGAGGCAGCAGUGGGAAUUUUGGGACAAUGGGCGCAAGCCUGAUCAGCCAUUCCGCGUGCAGGAUGAAGG